Non-coding RNA from Cerrena zonata, 89 nucleotides. The record is from the annotation of a GenBank genome assembly. Lineage: Eukaryota; Fungi; Basidiomycota; Agaricomycetes; Polyporales; Cerrenaceae.
GGCCUGAUGGUCUAGUCGCAUGAUUCCUGCUUUGGGACCAUAUCGGUUAAAACUGCAGGAGGUCCCGGGUUCAAUUCCCGGUCAGGCCC